AGAAUCAACGCUGGCGGCGUGCCUAACACAUGCAAGUCGCACGAGAAAGGGGAGCAAUUCCUGAGUAAAGUGGCGCACGGGUGAGUAACACGUGAAUAAUCUACCUCCGAGUGGGGAAUAACUGAGAGAAAUCUUAGCUAAUACCGCAUAACACUUACGAGUCAAAGCAGCAAUGCGCUUGGAGAGGAGUUCGCGGCCGAUUAGUUAGUUGGCGGGGUAAUGGCCCACCAAGACGAUGAUCGGUAUCCGGCCUGAGAGGGCGCACGGACACACUGGAACUGAAACACGGUCCAGACUCCUACGGGAGCAGCAGUGGGGAAUUUUGCGCAAUGGGGGAAACCCUGACGCAGCAACGCCGCGUGGAGGAUGAAGCCCUUGGGGUGUAAACUCCUUUCGAUCGGGAAGAUAAUGACGGUACCGAUAUAAGAAGCCCGGCUAACUUCGUGCCAGCAGCCGC
This 457-nucleotide ribosomal RNA is filed under the name uncultured bacterium. RNAcentral's name for it is "SSU rRNA". It matches the Rfam family "Bacterial small subunit ribosomal RNA", at positions 26 to 518 of the family's 1533-position model. The record is from RNAcentral.